UUGACUGCCCACUUGCUGAGUUUAGAGUCA
Molecule: non-coding RNA, 30 nt
Filed under: Rattus norvegicus (Norway rat)
Lineage: Eukaryota; Metazoa; Chordata; Mammalia; Rodentia; Muridae
Source: RNAcentral